Molecule: long non-coding RNA, 780 nt
Organism: Mandrillus leucophaeus (drill)
Lineage: Eukaryota; Metazoa; Chordata; Mammalia; Primates; Cercopithecidae
Exons: 2
Source: RefSeq, a predicted model, not a curated record
AAGGAAAGGAAGAAAAGUAGAUUGAUUAGUGUUGGGGAUGGCAGGUAGAAAAGAAUUCCAAGGGCUUUUAGUGAGAACGAUAUACAAUGAGGACUCCUAAACUUGAGCUUAAUAUAUGCCAAGUACUAUUCUGGACAUUGAAGAUACAAGUAAUCAUAAUGUCAUAUUCUUACCUUCAAGUAUCUCAGAGUCCACUGGAGAAGAUAAACGGAUUAACAUACAUUAUAACAAAGAAAGUGUUAAAAUAGUAGUAUCAACAUAGAUAUUCAAAAGAAGGAGUAUCUAACUUUUUUCUUGGCACACAGGCAAAGCUUCAUAGAGGAAGUGGCAUUUAAGAUGAGUCUUAAUGAUCAGUAGUAGCUUGGGAAGACAGAAAAGGGAAAGGGAAUUUUUAGCAAAAGAUAUGGCUUGUGCAAAGGCUUAAAAUGGUGGAGGAGCAUGGUAUAUUUGAGGAUUCAUGAGCAGGUCAAUUUGACUGAGUUAUAGGGUGAAUGAAAGGGAGUAGCAGGAGAUGAAGCUAGAAAGAUAUACUAACACUAGGUGGUUAAAAGGAACUUCUCUGACCUGGUAAGAAGUUUGGAUUUCAUUCUGUAGGCAAAAAAUACCUCAAGCUGAGUAGAAUGUUAUAAAAUUUUUGUUUAAAAAAGAAAACUGGACCAGGCGCAGUGGCUGACACCUGUAAUCCCAGCACUUUGGGAGGCUGAGGCAGGUGGAUCACCAGAGGUCAGGAGUUCAAGACCAGCCUGACCAACAUGGUUAAACCCCCUCUCUACAAAAACA